Long non-coding RNA from Pongo pygmaeus (Bornean orangutan), 1820 nucleotides. RefSeq lists it as uncharacterized. NCBI's taxonomy places the organism in Eukaryota, Metazoa, Chordata, Mammalia, Primates, Hominidae. The record is from RefSeq and is a predicted model, not a curated record. The transcript is spliced from 7 exons.
GUUCUCACUCUAUUAGUUCAUACAAAAGUUGGUUGUUUACAAAAGCCUGGCACCUCUUCCCUCUCUCUCUCUUGCUCUUCUUCUUGCCAUAUGAUACCUCCCCCUUCACCUUCUGCCAUGAGUAAAACUUCCUGGGGCCUUACCAGAAAUCAAGCAGAUACUGGCACUAUGCUUGUAGAGCCUGCAAAACCUAUUUUUCAAGAGCAUACUUUUUUAUUUUGAAGAAGUCUAAUUUAGCAAUUUUUUUCUUCUAUGUUUUGUGCUUUUUGUUUCCUAAGUCAUCUUUGCCUAACCCAAACUGAUAAACAGGCUGGAGGGGAGGUGUCAGUGUUCCUGGAACAACGAUUAUAUUCAUUUAUUGGCUUGAGGCUUUCAGGAAGCUGAACUGACACGAAGCAAAAGAAGUCCAUUGUUUUGGAUUGAGUUCCAUACUUGGCUGGCCCAGAGGUUGAUCUCACCACCAUUCAGAGAUCCAAGAAGAAGCCACCUGUUGGAUUUAAGAAAACCCAGGCAGAUUUGGCAGUCUUCUUGAAAGGAAGUAAUGCUUAUUGUGGUCAGAAGAAAGAGUGUGGCAACUCGGGUCUGAAAAAAGAGACAUGAAGAAAGCUGAGGACCAAUCCAUUCCAAGGUUCACUGUGGAAAUGGGGCCCAACCCUUAAAAGGCAAAACAGAUGCUGUCUCUAUGACGAAGUGCUCACUCUUCAGUGGAGCAGCCGUUUCCACAGCCAAAUGUCUCAACAGCAAACUGGAAUUCCCAGGCCAGGUUCUCCACUCUGUGCAACACACCCCUGAAGCAGGUGGAGACUGUGCUCACCUCACAGUGGCAGCUGGAAUGUCCAUGAGACUGAUUGUCCAGCUCAUUCUUUUUGGGUCUUUAUGCACAAGCAGAGGCAAAUCUGAAGUGAUGCUUGCAGCAAGGCCUUCUCUACAAUGGCGAGGAGACGCAUCAACUCCCUUUCCCCUCCCCUUGCUUUCUGAGGCCCCUAUUUCAUUUGUCAUGAAGGUGGAAUUGAGGCACUCAGAUGUAGGUAGGGCACAAAAAAGCUGCUAAGAAAGCUAACAUCCACGUGAUGAUGACCCCUUCCUUCUCCAUGGCAAUGCCAGUCUCUCACUUCACCUCCAUGAGCAUGGGCUGCAGUGCUGGUGUGAACCAUGGCAGGAUGGAUGCCUCAGGAUUUCAGAAAGAAGAAGAAAGCAAAAGACUUUUCUGAGCAUUUCUUUUUGCCCUGAGCUGGCCUCUACUCUCUGGGAGGCCGUAUAUUUGCAAGAGGUCCUACAUAAUGGCUUUGAGGAUUCAGGUGAAGGUGGUUGAGGAGAAGCCUAGUGUGAACUCAGAUAUGCAGGUCUCCUGAGGUAUGGAAGGAGAGUUUAUGUAUUCACAAUGCCUUUUCUUUUCUUCAUACUUUCACGGUAUGAAGUGUGAAGUGGGUAGCUAAUUCCCAGAGAUUACAUACAACUCCUCUGGGAGCUUGCCUUUCAUAUGCAAAGCAACCAAUCCACAGCCUACUUCCACCACCUCCUCUAUGGGGAUUUCACACUCUGGGCCAGUGUUCCCUUCCCUAAUCACCCCAGGGCAGGGACCAGACAGCUAAGGACAGCCCCUAAUUCCUCAGAGCCUUGAAAUGAUUCAAACCAGCCAGUCCUAAGCAUGCGUAUCCUGCCUUGGCUGUGUUCCCCAUGGAAACCACAGUAAAGGCUCUUGCUGGUGCUUUGCUCCUCCACCCACCUCCAGACUGACCCUGACGCUUCCCUCUAUGCACUGCCCCCCAUGUAGUGCACCCCAUCCUCUUGGGAUCUGUGAGUAAUAAACUGUCUUUUCA